GUGACAUCACAUAUACGGUGGC
RNAcentral lists this microRNA (22 nucleotides) under Dasypus novemcinctus (nine-banded armadillo). Its description in RNAcentral is "dno-miR-489-3p". Its record names the gene dno-miR-489-3p. Lineage: Eukaryota; Metazoa; Chordata; Mammalia; Cingulata; Dasypodidae. The record is from miRBase by way of RNAcentral. RNAcentral also lists the same sequence under 2 other names.